GGUGCGGAAUAGCUCAGGGAAACUUGAGGUAAUACCGUAUAAGCCCCUAGGGGGAAAGAUUUAUCGCCAUUGGAUGGGCCCGCGUCGGAUUAGCUAGUUGGUGAGGUAACGGCUCACCAAGGCAACGAUCCGUAGCUGGUUUGAGAGAAUGACCAGCCACACUGGGACUGAGACACGGCCCAGACUCCUACGGGAGGCAGCAGUGGGGAAUCUUGGACAAUGGGCGCAAGCCUGAUCCAGCCAUGCCGCGUGAGUGACGAAGGCCUUAGGGUUGUAAAGCUCUUUUGCCGGGGACGAUAAU
Molecule: ribosomal RNA, 301 nt
Filed under: uncultured Hyphomicrobium sp.
Lineage: Bacteria; Pseudomonadati; Pseudomonadota; Alphaproteobacteria; Hyphomicrobiales; Hyphomicrobiaceae
Description: bacterial SSU rRNA
Rfam family: Bacterial small subunit ribosomal RNA
Source: RNAcentral